This 163-nucleotide ribosomal RNA is filed under the name Calophyllum inophyllum. RNAcentral's name for it is "5.8S ribosomal RNA". It matches the Rfam family "5.8S ribosomal RNA". Rfam says of the family: 5.8S ribosomal RNA (5.8S rRNA) is a component of the large subunit of the eukaryotic ribosome. Lineage: Eukaryota; Viridiplantae; Streptophyta; Magnoliopsida; Malpighiales; Calophyllaceae. The record is from RNAcentral.
AAACGACUCUCGGCAACGGAUAUCUCGGCUCUCGCAUCGAUGAAGAACGUAGCGAAAUGCGAUACCUGGUGUGAAUUGCAGAAUCCCGCGAACCAUCGAGUCUUUGAACGCAAGUUGCGCCCGAAGCCUUCUGGCCGAGGGCACGCCUGCCUGGGCGUCACGC